Molecule: non-coding RNA, 223 nt
Organism: Hydra vulgaris (swiftwater hydra)
Lineage: Eukaryota; Metazoa; Cnidaria; Hydrozoa; Anthoathecata; Hydridae
Source: RefSeq, a predicted model, not a curated record
AGAAUUUUUCACUAAUGUUACCUUGGCUAUUUCGUUCAUAAAUUAGACAUGUAUUUUGAAGUCUAAUUUACUUAAGAAAGUGCACCAACGAGAAGGUUCAUGCCUUGGUUUCGGUUUCAAUCCAACCUUUGCUAGAUGAUUAGAUAGCUGUUUUCAAGGUUCCCUGGAAAAGUUGCCGACUGAAAUUAUGGAUUUACUUCACAAGAAUGCUCAUCUUUUGCCA